This 246-nucleotide ribosomal RNA is filed under the name uncultured bacterium. Its description in RNAcentral is "partial 16S ribosomal RNA". It matches the Rfam family "Bacterial small subunit ribosomal RNA", at positions 527 to 772 of the family's 1533-position model. The record is from RNAcentral.
GGAAGGUCCGGGCGUUAUCCGGAUUUAUUGGGUUUAAAGGGAGCGUAGGCUGGUUUUCAAGUCAGCUGUGAAAGUUCGCGGCUCAACCGCGGAAUUGCAGUUGAAACUGGAAGCCUUGAGUGCACACAGGGAUGCCGGAAUUCAUGGUGUAGCGGUGAAAUGCUUAGAUAUCAUGAAGAACUCCGAUCGCGAAGGCAAGUGUCCGGGGUGCGACUGACGCUGAGGCUCGAAAGUGCGGGUAUCAAA